RNAcentral lists this long non-coding RNA (1886 nucleotides) under Sus scrofa (pig). RNAcentral describes it as "lncRNA (ENSSSCG00035077048.1)". The record is from RNAcentral. Lineage: Eukaryota; Metazoa; Chordata; Mammalia; Artiodactyla; Suidae.
CAGCAUAUGGAGGUUCCCAGGCUAGGGGUCCAAUCGGACCUAUAGCUGCCAGCCUACACCAGAGCCCCAGCAAUGCCGGAUCUGAGCCAUGUCUGCGACCUAUACCACAGCUCAUGGCAACGCCGGAUCCUUAACCCACUGAGCAAGGCCAGGGAUCAAACCCCCAACCUCAUGGUUCCUAGUCGGAUUCCUUUCCGCUGCACCGUAACGGGAACUCCCUAAAUUUGCAUUUUUUAAGAGCAACCCUUUCUUCUUAUUUCUAGCAGUUCAAGGUGGUUAACAUCCCGAGGCUUUUUCAGUGUCUCAGUAUUUGGAGUUUUAUAUCUCCAUCCUCCUCAGGACAUUCUGAACUCAGAAAAACAAUUCCAAAUAUUUAAUGACAUGAUUUGAAAUAUGGCUUGAACACCCUGAUAGCAGAGACAUAGCUGGAUGCUAGAUCACCAUCUGUCUCAUACCAAUAGCGUUUCACAAAAAGUAAAUUUUUUAGAAAUUCUAGCCACAGGAGUAUAGUUAGAACAUAAAAGAACAGAAUGAUUCUUGGCAUUGACAGGAAUAGUCAAUCAGAGUAAAAAAUGGCUAUUCCAAGUCUCCUGAGUAAUCAAUUGGUAACCACUUUAAAAUGGUGAAAAUUUCCCCAAAGUGUUCAACACUCAAAAGUAUGAAUGCUGCUGAAUUUGGGGGAGGGGGGGUGUUGUCCUUCCACUUAAGAAGGAAUUUUAGAGCAAGAAAGAAUCUCAGAUCUCUAAUCUCCUACCUUUCUAGAUGAGAAAACUGAAGCUCAAAAAGUUAAUGUGACUCACUAAAUUUGUAUUCAAUAUAUUUAAUUUGGAGGUAGUUUGUUAACAGAAUUUCAAUUUCUCAAGAAUAAAUGGGUUUUUGUAUGGCUAUUACAAAAUAGUAAAAAUCUGAAAAUAAGAAAAAAUUGGCCUGUGAUAGCUAAUCAAGAAAUCUUACUUUUACAAAUUAAAAUCUUACAAAAAUAAAUCCUAGCUAUACUAAAAACCUGAGUGAAAAGUGUAACUCUGUAAGAAAUAGAAGAAAAUAAAAUUGAGUUUUUAGACACAGAAUGGAGAAGGACUUUCUAAUUUCUACAGUGAUUUUUAAAAUCAAAUGGUAUAAAUCAACAGUUUUGCUCAUAUAUGUAUAAAAAUAAGAAACAAGUUUGAAAAAACUACACAUAACAAGUAUGACAAAGAUUUAUGUCCUUGAUAUAUAAAGAGCUUAUUUGAAUCAAUGAGAAAAAAAAUCCCAGUGGAAAAAUGGACAAAGGAAAUGAAUAGGUUAUUUACAGAAGAUAGAUGGAAUAGUAAAAAUUGCAAGAUUCAACCUCACUAGAAUAGAAAUGUAAAUUUCCCUCCCAUCAACCUGACAAGAAUACUGGGUUUCUCUUCCUAAGAAUCAUAACAGUCAAUGAGGAGGAGGGUAUUACAAAGCAAGUACUUUCAUGUAGUGCUGAUUAUCUGAAAACUGGAACAAACUCUAUGAAAAGCAGCUGAGCAAGAAACAUAAAAGAAAUUAACACAGUUCAUACCAAUGAGCAAUAACUACAAAGCCAGAAAUUCAUCCUUAAGAGACAUAACCUUAGGUAAAGAUCUUUAUAGAGACGUGCAUCUCAGAUUAUUUAUAACAGCAAAAUUCUGAAAAUCUAUUUGCCCCUAAAUGGGAAGAGUAGUUAAGUGAAACAUGUUAUGGAAACAUAAGAAUGGCCUCUCAAUGUAUACAGUGACACAGGUGGGAAGGCGAGGAGAAACUAUGGUUAGUUCUCACUAAAUUUUUCCUUUCUUGCUUGUAUCUUUCUAUUAUUUCUAAAUUCUCUAUAAAAAGGCAUUUACAGUUAGUGGAACCUUUUUAGAAGAUUAUUAUUAUUUUUUUUUUUGGUCUUUCUG